CUGCUUUGGUUUUUGCAGAAUACUCUUCUUGUGCAAUGCAAGCUUUGAGAUGUAGCCUGCAUUCAGAAAGGAACUAUUGCUCUGUGCUUGGCAAGACAUUGGAGGAACUCUCUCGAAUUAUCAAGAAAAUGGAGGACGACAAGAAAAAUCCCAGACUACCUGAAUGCAGCAGGACACCACAUUCAGAAGACAACAGAAGCAAAGUGAAGAGCACCUAGAGUGCUGAUCAAGAAGCAAGGCAUUUUCCAGUGACUAGUACAGUGUGGUAAAAGCAGCUUGUAGUCCUUCUAAAGUAAAGAAGAUCAGAGGACCACACUCACCUUAUCUGGAUGAACUACAAGGACUGCUUUCCUGUAGUACUUCUUUACUUGUUCAGGAGUUACUAAAUCUGCCAUGCUGACUGGUUUCCACUUAGUUUCCCCUUCCCAAAGCACUGUAUGAAGAGUGGAUAUUAAUGCUCUGAUAUUUCUCUCCUUUCCUUCAAUCCAUUCAAGAAUCUGGGAAAAUCAGAAUAUAUAGAACUGAAUGCAGCACUGUAAGGAUUCUCAGUCUAUCUACAGACAUAAUCCUCAUUCUGUGCACAAUUACAAUUUUAAGACUCAAGCACAGUUGUCUUACUGCACUCACUCCCCAAGUUCAACUGUUUUAGCCAUCUGAAAGUGAAACUUUUCAUCUACCACUCAGGAGUAGUUCACUGUUAUUAGUUUACCGCAGAAAUUCAGUCAUUGCAAGAGAUAUUACUGAGAUAGUUACAUAUUACAAACCUCUGUAAAAACAAUGACAAGGGAAUUGUCAGGAGUAAUUAAAAGCAUAUGUUACAAUUAGAUAUUACACUCAAAUUACAUUAAUCUUGUCCCCAUCAGGGCACAAGGUUAAUUAACUAAAAUUCUUACCUGAUUUGUAAAAAAGCAUAAGUGCACAAGCAUUGUACAAAAGAUCAUGUAUAUUAAUAGUCAAUGUUUACUUAAGCAACUGGAAGAGGAGCACAAACUAAAGUGUUCUUUGAGAUAUCCCCGACAAAGUUAUUCUGAUAACUGGCCAUUUCCAACUUUAACAGCAAUAUUCAAGCCACUGAUAUCGUGAUAGUGUUUUCAUUGAAUGCUUAUGUAAUAUGACAAUCUCUGCCAUCUAUCAACAAUGAGUAUGGUAAAUAAAAAUCUGUAUUUA
Long non-coding RNA from Pipra filicauda (Wire-tailed manakin), 1167 nucleotides. RefSeq lists it as uncharacterized. The transcript is spliced from 2 exons. NCBI's taxonomy places the organism in Eukaryota, Metazoa, Chordata, Aves, Passeriformes, Pipridae. The record is from RefSeq and is a predicted model, not a curated record.